CGAAUGCUGACAUAAGUAACGAUAAAGCGGGUGAAAAGCCCGCUCGCCGGAAGACCAAGGGUUCCUGUCCAACGUUAAUCGGGGCAGGGUGAGUCGACCCCUAAGGCGAGGCCGAAAGGCGUAGUCGAUGGGAAACAGGUUAAUAUUCCUGUACUUGGUGUUACUGCGAAGGGGGGACGGAGAAGGCUAUGUUGGCCGGGCGACGGUUGUCCCGGUUUAAGCGUGUAGGCUGGUUUUCCAGGCAAAUCCGGAAAAUCAAGGCUGAGGCGUGAUGACGAGGCACUACGGUGCUGAAGCAACAAAUGCCCUGCUUCCAGGAAAAGCCUCUAAGCAUCAGGUAACAUCAAAUCGUACCCCAAACCGACACAGGUGGUCAGGUAGAGAAUACCAAGGCGCUUGAGAGAACUCGGGUGAAGGAACUAGGCAAAAUGGUGCCGUAACUUCGGGAGAAGGCACGCUGAUAUGUAGGUGAAGUCCCUCGCGGAUGGAGCUGAAAUCAGUCGAAGAUACCAGCUGGCUGCAACUGUUUAUUAAAAACACAGCACUGUGCAAACACGAAAGUGGACGUAUACGGUGUGACGCCUGCCCGGUGCCGGAAGGUUAAUUGAUGGGGUCAGCGCAAGCGAAGCUCUUGAUCGAAGCCCCGGUAAACGGCGGCCGUAACUAUAACGGUCCUAAGGUAGCGAAAUUCCUUGUCGGGUAAGUUCCGACCUGCACGAAUGGCGUAAUGAUGGCCAGGCUGUCUCCACCCGAGACUCAGUGAAAUUGAACUCGCUGUGAAGAUGCAGUGUACCCGCGGCAAGACGGAAAGACCCCGUGAACCUUUACUAUAGCUUGACACUGAACAUUGAGCCUUGAUGUGUAGGAUAGGUGGGAGGCUUUGAAGUGUGGACGCCAGUCUGCAUGGAGCCGACCUUGAAAUACCACCCUUUAAUGUUUGAUGUUCUAACGUGGACCCGUGAUCCGGGUUGCGGACAGUGUCUGGUGGGUAGUUUGACUGGGGCGGUCUCCUCCUAAAGAGUAACGGAGGAGCACGAAGGUUGGCUAAUCCUGGUCGGACAUCAGGAGGUUAGUGCAAUGGCAUAAGCCAGCUUGACUGCGAGCGUGACGGCGCGAGCAGGUGCGAAAGCAGGUCAUAGUGAUCCGGUGGUUCUGAAUGGAAGGGCCAUCGCUCAACGGAUAAAAGGUACUCCGGGGAUAACAGGCUGAUACCGCCCAAGAGUUCAUAUCGACGGCGGUGUUUGGCACCUCGAUGUCGGCUCAUCACAUCCUGGGGCUGAAGUAGGUCCCAAGGGUAUGGCUGUUCGCCAUUUAAAGUGGUACGCGAGCUGGGUUUAGAACGUCGUGAGACAGUUCGGUCCCUAUCUGCCGUGGGCGCUGGAGAACUGAGGGGGGCUGCUCCUAGUACGAGAGGACCGGAGUGGACGCAUCACUGGUGUUCGGGUUGUCAUGCCAAUGGCACUGCCCGGUAGCUAAAUGCGGAAGAGAUAAGUGCUGAAAGCAUCUAAGCACGAAACUUGCCCCGAGAUGAGUUCUCC
RNAcentral lists this ribosomal RNA (1538 nucleotides) under Escherichia coli. RNAcentral describes it as "partial 23S ribosomal RNA". It matches the Rfam family "Bacterial large subunit ribosomal RNA", at positions 1291 to 2814 of the family's 2925-position model. Lineage: Bacteria; Pseudomonadati; Pseudomonadota; Gammaproteobacteria; Enterobacterales; Enterobacteriaceae. The record is from RNAcentral.